CCAAGUGGACACCAACUGGACCACCCAGAUGACGCCGUUCGACUACGUCAUCGUCUCCGCCGGCCACUGGUUCUUCCGCCCCACCAUGUUCUUCGAGGCCGACCAGCUCGUCGGCUGCCACUACUGCCUCCACCCCAACGUCACCGACCUGACCAUGUACUACAGCUACCGGAGGGCCUUCAGGGCCGCGCUCCGGGCCUUCAACGACCUCCCGGGCUUCAGGGGCACGGUGUUCCUCCGGACCUUCGCGCCGUCGCACUUCGAGAACGGCGAGUGGAACAAGGGGGGCAACUGCGUGCGGCAGCGGCCGUUCCGGAGCAACGAGACAAGGAUGGACGGCUACAACCUGGAGAUG
This 355-nucleotide long non-coding RNA is filed under the name Musa acuminata (dwarf banana). Its description in RNAcentral is "long non-coding RNA (MACU_LNC001743)". The record is from RNAcentral. Lineage: Eukaryota; Viridiplantae; Streptophyta; Magnoliopsida; Zingiberales; Musaceae.